UGUCACGGGUAGUUUUAGUAUCAGUGAAC
RNAcentral lists this non-coding RNA (29 nucleotides) under Rattus norvegicus (Norway rat). The record is from RNAcentral. Lineage: Eukaryota; Metazoa; Chordata; Mammalia; Rodentia; Muridae.